Molecule: transfer RNA, 94 nt
Filed under: bacterium
Lineage: Bacteria
Description: tRNA-Ser
Rfam family: tRNA
About the family: Transfer RNA (tRNA) molecules are approximately 80 nucleotides in length. Their secondary structure includes four short double-helical elements and three loops (D, anti-codon, and T loops).
Source: RNAcentral
GGAGGAGUCGCCUAGAGGACCAUGGCAGCGGUUUGCUAAACCGCCGAGGGGGUAAAAACCUCUCGCGUGGGUUCGAAUCCCACCUCCUCCGCCA